GGCCGUGUGGCUCAAUGGCAGAGCGUCUGACUACGAUUGCAAACCCAUACGGGUCACAUGUUAUCAGAAGGUCGCAGGUUCGACCCCUGUCUCGGUCA
This is a non-coding RNA of Claviceps capensis, 98 nucleotides long. The record is from the annotation of a GenBank genome assembly. Lineage: Eukaryota; Fungi; Ascomycota; Sordariomycetes; Hypocreales; Clavicipitaceae.